AGGGUUUGAUCCUGGGCUCAGAAUGAACGCUGGCGGCGUGCUUAACACAUGCAAGUCGUACGAGAAAAGUCCCUUCGGGGGCUGAGUAAAGUGGCGAACGGGUGAGUAACGCGUGGGUAACCUGCCCUUGAGUGUGGAAUAACUCCGGGAAACUGGGGCUAAUACUGCAUGAUAUCGCGAGAGCCUUGGCUCAUGCGAUCAAAGGUGGCGCGGUUCGACCGCUACCGCUCAUGGAGGGACCCGCGUCCCAUUAGCUUGUUGGUGGGGUAACGGCCUACCAAGGCUUCGAUGGGUAGCCGGCCUGAGAGGGUGUCCGGCCACACUGGAACUGAGACACGGUCCAGACUCCUACGGGAGGCAGCAGUGGGGAAUAUUGGGCAAUGGGCGCAAGCCUGACCCAGCGACGCCGCGUGGGUGAUGAAGGCCCUUGGGUCGUAAAACCCUGUCAUGUGGGACGAAAGACUCGGGCUCUAACAUAGCUCGGGUUUGACGGUGCCACAGGAGGAAGCCCCGGCUAACUCCGUGCCAGCAGCUGCGGNUAAUACGGAGGGGGCGAGCGUUAUUCGGAAUUAUUGGGCGUAAAGGGCAGGUAGGCGGCUCUGUAUGGUCCUCUGUGAAAGCCCUCGGCUCAACCCGA
Molecule: ribosomal RNA, 637 nt
Filed under: uncultured Acidobacterium sp.
Lineage: Bacteria; Pseudomonadati; Acidobacteriota; Terriglobia; Terriglobales; Acidobacteriaceae
Description: bacterial SSU rRNA
Rfam family: Bacterial small subunit ribosomal RNA
Source: RNAcentral